CACGUAGGGCGCAAGCGUUGUCCGGAAUUAUUGGGCGUAAAGAGCUCGUAGGUGGUUUGUUACGUCUGCUGUGAAAACCUAGGGCUUAACCCUGGGCUUGCAGUGGAUACGGGCAGACUAGAGGUAGGUAGGGGAGAAUGGAAUUCCUGGUGUAGCGGUGAAAUGCGCAGAUAUCAGGAGGAACACCGGUGGCGAAGGCGGGUCUCUGGGCAACAACUGACGCUGAGGAGCGAAAGCGUGGGGAGCGAACAGG
RNAcentral lists this ribosomal RNA (253 nucleotides) under uncultured bacterium. Its description in RNAcentral is "partial 16S ribosomal RNA". It matches the Rfam family "Bacterial small subunit ribosomal RNA", at positions 524 to 776 of the family's 1533-position model. The record is from RNAcentral.